CUAGCCGUAAACGAUGGAUACUAGGUGUGGGUGUCGCAGGGCAUCCGUGCCGCAGUUAACGCGUUAAGUAUCCCGCCUGGGGACUACGGUCGCAAGACUGAAACUCAAAGGAAUUGACGGGGGCCCGCACAAGCGGUGGAGCACGUGGUUUAAUUCGAUGCAAACCGAAGAACCUUACCUAGGCUUGACAUACAAGUGGUACAGAAGUGAAAGCGGAAGGACCCUAGCUUGCUAGGGAGCUUGAACAGGUGC
Molecule: ribosomal RNA, 252 nt
Filed under: uncultured Synergistaceae bacterium
Lineage: Bacteria; Thermotogati; Synergistota; Synergistia; Synergistales; Synergistaceae
Description: partial 16S ribosomal RNA
Rfam family: Bacterial small subunit ribosomal RNA
Source: RNAcentral